AAGGAAUAUUGGUCAAUGGGCGCAAGCCUGAACCAGCCAUGCCGCGUGCAGGAAGACGGCCCUAUGGGUUGUAAACUGCUUUUGUCAGGGAAUAAACCCCGUCCGUUUACCGGGCCUCAGGUUCCUUGAGAAUACAGCAUCGGCAAACCCGUUGCCAGCAGCCGCGGUAAUACGGAGGAUGCAAGCGUUAUCCGGGAUUCAUUGGGUUUAAAGGGUGCGCAGGCGGAUUGAUAAGUCAGGGGUGAAAUCCAACAGCUCAACUGUGGAACUGCCUUUGAUACUGUUAGUCUUGAGUAUAGUUGAAGUGGGCGGAAUGUGUCAUGUAGCGGUGAAAUGCUUAGAUAUGACACAGAACACCGAUCGCGAAGGCAGCUCGCUAAGCUAUAACUGACGCUCAUGCACGAAAGCGUGGGGAUCAAACA
Molecule: ribosomal RNA, 422 nt
Filed under: uncultured Bacteroidota bacterium
Lineage: Bacteria; Pseudomonadati; Bacteroidota
Description: bacterial SSU rRNA
Rfam family: Bacterial small subunit ribosomal RNA
Source: RNAcentral